This is a non-coding RNA of Onychostoma macrolepis, 76 nucleotides long. NCBI's taxonomy places the organism in Eukaryota, Metazoa, Chordata, Actinopteri, Cypriniformes, Cyprinidae. The record is from the annotation of a RefSeq genome assembly.
GUCUCUGUGGGCGCAACCCGGUUAGCGCGUUCGGCUGUUAACCGAAAGGUUGGUGGUUCGAGCCCACCCAGGGACG